RNAcentral lists this ribosomal RNA (433 nucleotides) under uncultured bacterium. RNAcentral describes it as "partial 16S ribosomal RNA". It matches the Rfam family "Bacterial small subunit ribosomal RNA", at positions 29 to 507 of the family's 1533-position model. The record is from RNAcentral.
AGCGAACGCUGGCGGCAGGCUUAACACAUGCAAGUCGAGCGAGCCUUUCGGGGUCAGCGGCGGACGGGUGUGUAACGCGUGGGAACGUGCCCUCUGGUUCGGAAUAACUCAGGGAAACUUGAGCUAAUACCGGAUACGCCCUUUUGGGGGAAGGCUUGCUGCCGGAGGAUCGUCCCGAGUCUGAUUAGCUAGUUGGUGAGGUAACGGAUCACCAAGGCGACGAUCAGUAGCUGGUCAGAGAGGAUGGUCAGCCACACUGGGACUAGGACACGGCCGAGACUCCUACGGGAGGCAGCAGUGGGGAAUGGUGGACAGUGGGCGCAAGCCUGAUCCAGCCAGGCCGCGUGAGUGAUGUAGGCCUGAGGGUAGUAAAGCUCUAGUAUCCGUGACGAUAAUGACGGUACCGGAGGAAAAAGCCCCGGCUAACUUCGUG